Long non-coding RNA from Anser cygnoides (Swan goose), 2453 nucleotides. The record is from Ensembl. Lineage: Eukaryota; Metazoa; Chordata; Aves; Anseriformes; Anatidae.
GGUCCUUGGGGGCGUCUGGGGGACCACCGGGGGUCACCGGGCUGGGUCCUCGGGGGCACCUGGAGGCCCACCGGGGGUCACCAGGGUGGGUCCUCGGAGGCACCAGGGGGCCCGCCAGGGGUGUCCGGGUUGGGUCCUCGGGGGCACCCGGGACCACGCCGGAGGUCACCAGGGUGGGUCCUCAGGGGCGACCUGUGGCCCGCCGGAGGUUACCGGGUGGCUCCUCGUGGGUGCCCGGGAGCCCGCCAUGGGUAACCGGCGUGGGUCCUCCGGGGUGCCAGGGGGACCCGCCAGGGGUCACCGGGGUGGUUCCUCGGGGGCACCCUGGGGCCCACCAGGAGUCACCAGGUGGGUCCUCCGGGGUGGCUGGGAGCCCGCAGCGGGACACUGGGGUGGGUCCUCGGGCAUGCACGGUAGCCUGCUGCAGGUUAACCGGGGUGGGUCCUCUGGGGCGCCCUGGGGCCUGCCAGGGGUCACUGGGCUGGGUCCUUGGGGGUGCACGGGGGCCCACCAGGGGUCACUGAGGGGGGUCCUCAGAGGCACCCGGGGUCCCACUGGGUGUCACCGGGGCGUGUUCUCGGGGCGCCCGGGGGCCCGCCGGGGGUCACUGGGUUGGGUCCUCGGGGUCGCCCGGGGUCUCCCCGGGGGUCACCGGGGUGGAACCUCCUGGGUGCCUGGGAGCCCGCCGGGGGUCACCGGGGUGGGUCCUCCGGGGCACCCUGGGGCCCGCCGGGGUCACCAGGCUGGGUCCUCCAGGGCGCCAGGGGACCCGCAGUCAGUCACCUGGGUGGGUCCUCUGGGGCGCCCUGGGGCCCGCCGGGGGUCACUGGGGUGGGUCUUCCUGGGCACUCUGGGGCCUUCUGGGGGUCACCGGUUUGGGUCCUCGGGGGCACCCUGGGGCCUGCCAGGGUCACCAGGGUGGGUCCUCUGGGGCGCCAGGGAGCACGCAAUCGGUCACCUGGGUGGGUUCUCCAGGUCACCCUGGGGCCCGCCGGGGGUCACCGGGGUGGGUCCUCAGGGGCGCCCGGGGGCCCGCCAGAGGUUACCGGGUGGCUCCUCGUGGGUGCCCGGGAGCCCGCCGCGGGUAACCGGCGUGGGUCCUCCGGGGUGCCAGGGGGAACGCCAGGGGUCACCGGGGUGGUUCCUCAGGGGCACCCGGAGGCCCGCCGGGGUCACCGGGAUGUGUCCUCCGGGGCGCCCUAGAGCCUGCCAGGGUUCACCAAGGUGGGUCCUUGGGGGCACCCAGGGGCCUGCCAGGGGUCACGGGGGUGGGUCCUCAAAGGCGCCCGGGGGCCCGCCGGUGGACACCAGGUUGGGUCCUCCAGGGCGCCCAGGGGCCCACCGGGGGUCACCGGGGUGGGUCCUAUGGGGCCCUCCGAGGGGUCACCGGAGCUGGUCCUCCGGGGACCUAGGUCCUCCAGUUGGUAGUUGGUCCUCCGGUUACUGGGGGUAACCAGGGUGGGUGCUCCGGGGUGCCAGGGGGCCUGGCGAGGCUCACCGGGGUGGGUCCUCCUGCGCCCCUGGGGGGCCCAGGCGUGUCACCGCAGUGGGUCCUCCAGGAACCUGGUGGGCCUUGUGGUGUAAUCGGGGUGGGUCCUCUGGGGCCCUCGGAGUGUCAGCGGAGUGGGUCCUCCGGGGACCUGGGGGACCUGGGGAGAUCACCGGGGGGGGUCCUCCGGGGCCCCUGGGGUGUCAGUGGACUGGGUCCUCUGGGGACCUGGUUGGCCCGGGGGAGUCAACGGAGUGGGAGCUCCGGGGAACUGUGGGACCUUUGGGUGUCACCAGGGUUGGUGCUCCGGAGACCUCAAUGGUUUCACUGGGAUGGGUCCUAUGGACCGCCCAGGGUCCCACCAGGGGUCACCGGGUGGGUCCUCGGGGGCGCCCGGGCGCCCGCCGGGAUUCACCGGGGUGGGUCCUAUGGGCCACACAGGGGCCCUCCGGGGGUCACCGGGGUGUGUGCUCCUGGGUGCCCAGGGACACUUCGGGGGUAACCAUGGUGGGUUCUUAGGAGCGCCCAGGGUCCUGCCAGGGGUAACGGGGGGGGUGCUCCGGGGAGCCCGGGGGCCCGUCGGGGUUCAACAGGGUGGGUGCGCCGGGGCGACCGGUGUCCUGCCGGGGGUCACCGGGGUGGGUCCUAUGGGGAGCCCGGGGGCCCGCCAGGGGUCACUGGGGUGGGUGCUCUGGGGUGCCAGGGGGCCCAGCGGGGCUCACCGGGGUGGGUCUUAUGGUGCGGCCGGGGGCCUGCCAGGGGUCACCGGGGUGGGUCCUAUGGGGCGCCUGGUGGCCCUUCGGGGCUCACCGGGGUGGGUGCUUAGGAGAGCCCAGGGUCCUGCCAGGGGUAACGGGGGGGGUGCUCCGGGGAGCACCGAGCAGUUCGCGCUUCUGCAAAUUCGAUUAAGCCUUUGAGCCUGGGCUGCAGGAAGUUUACGAGCACGCCUCAGUUUCACCCAAAG